Molecule: ribosomal RNA, 439 nt
Filed under: uncultured bacterium
Lineage: Bacteria
Description: bacterial SSU rRNA
Rfam family: Bacterial small subunit ribosomal RNA
Source: RNAcentral
AAGUCGAACGCGAAAGCCUGACUUCGGUUGGGCAAGUAGAGUGGCGAACGGGUGAGUAACACGUGGAUAACCUGCCCUGCGGUGGGGAAUAACCCCGGGAAACUGGGGCUAAUACCGCAUACGAUCCAUCGGGCGCAAGUCGGAUGGAUGAAAGCCUUCGGGCGCAGCAGGAGGGGUCCGCGGCCGAUUAGCUAGUUGGCGGGGUAAAAGCCCACCAAGGCACAGAUCGGUAGCCGGCCUGAGAGGGCGCACGGCCACACUGGCACUGAGACACGGGCCAGACUCCUACGGGAGGCAGCAGUGGGGAAUCUUGGACAAUGGGCGCAAGCCUGAUCCAGCGACGCCGCGUGACUGAUGAAGCCCCUCGGGGUGUAAAAGUCUUUCAGCAGGGACAAUGAUGAUGGUACCUGCAGAAGCAGCUGCGGCUAACUACGUGCCA